RNAcentral lists this ribosomal RNA (2904 nucleotides) under Escherichia coli. RNAcentral's name for it is "23S ribosomal RNA". It matches the Rfam family "Bacterial large subunit ribosomal RNA". The record is from RNAcentral. Lineage: Bacteria; Pseudomonadati; Pseudomonadota; Gammaproteobacteria; Enterobacterales; Enterobacteriaceae.
GGUUAAGCGACUAAGCGUACACGGUGGAUGCCCUGGCAGUCAGAGGCGAUGAAGGACGUGCUAAUCUGCGAUAAGCGUCGGUAAGGUGAUAUGAACCGUUAUAACCGGCGAUUUCCGAAUGGGGAAACCCAGUGUGAUUCGUCACACUAUCAUUAACUGAAUCCAUAGGUUAAUGAGGCGAACCGGGGGAACUGAAACAUCUAAGUACCCCGAGGAAAAGAAAUCAACCGAGAUUCCCCCAGUAGCGGCGAGCGAACGGGGAGCAGCCCAGAGCCUGAAUCAGUGUGUGUGUUAGUGGAAGCGUCUGGAAAGGCGCGCGAUACAGGGUGACAGCCCCGUACACAAAAAUGCACAUGCUGUGAGCUCGAUGAGUAGGGCGGGACACGUGGUAUCCUGUCUGAAUAUGGGGGGACCAUCCUCCAAGGCUAAAUACUCCUGACUGACCGAUAGUGAACCAGUACCGUGAGGGAAAGGCGAAAAGAACCCCGGCGAGGGGAGUGAAAAAGAACCUGAAACCGUGUACGUACAAGCAGUGGGAGCACGCUUAGGCGUGUGACUGCGUACCUUUUGUAUAAUGGGUCAGCGACUUAUAUUCUGUAGCAAGGUUAACCGAAUAGGGGAGCCGAAGGGAAACCGAGUCUUAACUGGGCGUUAAGUUGCAGGGUAUAGACCCGAAACCCGGUGAUCUAGCCAUGGGCAGGUUGAAGGUUGGGUAACACUAACUGGAGGACCGAACCGACUAAUGUUGAAAAAUUAGCGGAUGACUUGUGGCUGGGGGUGAAAGGCCAAUCAAACCGGGAGAUAGCUGGUUCUCCCCGAAAGCUAUUUAGGUAGCGCCUCGUGAAUUCAUCUCCGGGGGUAGAGCACUGUUUCGGCAAGGGGGUCAUCCCGACUUACCAACCCGAUGCAAACUGCGAAUACCGGAGAAUGUUAUCACGGGAGACACACGGCGGGUGCUAACGUCCGUCGUGAAGAGGGAAACAACCCAGACCGCCAGCUAAGGUCCCAAAGUCAUGGUUAAGUGGGAAACGAUGUGGGAAGGCCCAGACAGCCAGGAUGUUGGCUUAGAAGCAGCCAUCAUUUAAAGAAAGCGUAAUAGCUCACUGGUCGAGUCGGCCUGCGCGGAAGAUGUAACGGGGCUAAACCAUGCACCGAAGCUGCGGCAGCGACGCUGAUGCGUUGUUGGGUAGGGGAGCGUUCUGUAAGCCUGCGAAGGUGUGCUGUGAGGCAUGCUGGAGGUAUCAGAAGUGCGAAUGCUGACAUAAGUAACGAUAAAGCGGGUGAAAAGCCCGCUCGCCGGAAGACCAAGGGUUCCUGUCCAACGUUAAUCGGGGCAGGGUGAGUCGACCCCUAAGGCGAGGCCGAAAGGCGUAGUCGAUGGGAAACAGGUUAAUAUUCCUGUACUUGGUGUUACUGCGAAGGGGGGACGGAGAAGGCUAUGUUGGCCGGGCGACGGUUGUCCCGGUUUAAGCGUGUAGGCUGGUUUUCCAGGCAAAUCCGGAAAAUCAAGGCUGAGGCGUGAUGACGAGGCACUACGGUGCUGAAGCAACAAAUGCCCUGCUUCCAGGAAAAGCCUCUAAGCAUCAGGUAACAUCAAAUCGUACCCCAAACCGACACAGGUGGUCAGGUAGAGAAUACCAAGGCGCUUGAGAGAACUCGGGUGAAGGAACUAGGCAAAAUGGUGCCGUAACUUCGGGAGAAGGCACGCUGAUAUGUAGGUGAAGUCCCUCGCGGAUGGAGCUGAAAUCAGUCGAAGAUACCAGCUGGCUGCAACUGUUUAUUAAAAACACAGCACUGUGCAAACACGAAAGUGGACGUAUACGGUGUGACGCCUGCCCGGUGCCGGAAGGUUAAUUGAUGGGGUCAGCGCAAGCGAAGCUCUUGAUCGAAGCCCCGGUAAACGGCGGCCGUAACUAUAACGGUCCUAAGGUAGCGAAAUUCCUUGUCGGGUAAGUUCCGACCUGCACGAAUGGCGUAAUGAUGGCCAGGCUGUCUCCACCCGAGACUCAGUGAAAUUGAACUCGCUGUGAAGAUGCAGUGUACCCGCGGCAAGACGGAAAGACCCCGUGAACCUUUACUAUAGCUUGACACUGAACAUUGAGCCUUGAUGUGUAGGAUAGGUGGGAGGCUUUGAAGUGUGGACGCCAGUCUGCAUGGAGCCGACCUUGAAAUACCACCCUUUAAUGUUUGAUGUUCUAACGUUGACCCGUGAUCCGGGUUGCGGACAGUGUCUGGUGGGUAGUUUGACUGGGGCGGUCUCCUCCUAAAGAGUAACGGAGGAGCACGAAGGUUGGCUAAUCCUGGUCGGACAUCAGGAGGUUAGUGCAAUGGCAUAAGCCAGCUUGACUGCGAGCGUGACGGCGCGAGCAGGUGCGAAAGCAGGUCAUAGUGAUCCGGUGGUUCUGAAUGGAAGGGCCAUCGCUCAACGGAUAAAAGGUACUCCGGGGAUAACAGGCUGAUACCGCCCAAGAGUUCAUAUCGACGGCGGUGUUUGGCACCUCGAUGUCGGCUCAUCACAUCCUGGGGCUGAAGUAGGUCCCAAGGGUAUGGCUGUUCGCCAUUUAAAGUGGUACGCGAGCUGGGUUUAGAACGUCGUGAGACAGUUCGGUCCCUAUCUGCCGUGGGCGCUGGAGAACUGAGGGGGGCUGCUCCUAGUACGAGAGGACCGGAGUGGACGCAUCACUGGUGUUCGGGUUGUCAUGCCAAUGGCACUGCCCGGUAGCUAAAUGCGGAAGAGAUAAGUGCUGAAAGCAUCUAAGCACGAAACUUGCCCCGAGAUGAGUUCUCCCUGACCCUUUAAGGGUCCUGAAGGAACGUUGAAGACGACGACGUUGAUAGGCCGGGUGUGUAAGCGCAGCGAUGCGUUGAGCUAACCGGUACUAAUGAACCGUGAGGCUUAACCUU